UAGUAUUAUGUGUUGUAUGUUAUAUAUUAUAUGUUAUAUAAAUAUUCAAGGAUUGAUAUAGAAGUAAAGACAAAUAAAUAUUGAGACAAAUAUAUUCACGGAUAUGAUAAAAAGCGUUUUUAUUGACCAAAAUGGCAUAUCUUUCUUAAUCUUCCUUCCCCCAAUGGAAUGAGCACAACAUGGUACUAAUACCACCAUUAAAAGGAAAAAAAACUAAA
RNAcentral lists this long non-coding RNA (218 nucleotides) under Nicotiana benthamiana. RNAcentral's name for it is "long non-coding RNA (NBEN_LNC029229)". The record is from RNAcentral. Lineage: Eukaryota; Viridiplantae; Streptophyta; Magnoliopsida; Solanales; Solanaceae.